UCGACGUGAAAGUCCUUCGGGAUGAGUAAAGUGGCGCACGGGUGAGUAAUGCGUAGAUAAUCUGCCUGGUGAUCUGGGAUAACAUCUCGAAAGGGGUGCUAAUACCGGAUAAGCCCACGGAGUCUUCGGACUUUGCGGGAAAAGGGGGGGACCUUCGGGCCUUCUGUCACCAGAUGAGUCUACGUACCAUUAGCUAGUUGGUGGGGUAAGAGCCCACCAAGGCUACGAUGGUUAGCUGGUCUGAGAGGAUGAUCAGCCACACUGGAACUGAGACACGGUCCAGACUCCUACGGGAGGCAGCAGUGGGGAAUUUUGCGCAAUGGGGGAAACCCUGACGCAGCAACGCCGCGUGAGUGAUGAAGGCCUUCGGGUCGUAAAGCUCUGUCAGAGGGAAAGAAAUGUGGGUGGCUAAUAUCCAUUCCGCUUGACGGUACCCUCAAAGGAAGCACCGGCUAACUCCGUGCCAGCAGCCGCGGUAAUACGGAGGGUGCGAGCGUUGUUCGGAAUUAUUGGGCGUAAAGCGCGUGUAGGCGGUUUUAUAAGUCUGAUGUGAAAGCCCCGGGCUCAACCUGGGAGGUGCAUUGGAAACUGUAAGACUUGAGUACGGGAGAGGGCAGUGGAAUUCCUAGUGUAGGAGUGAAAUCCGUAGAUAUUAGGAGGAACACCGGUGGCGAAGGCGGCUGCCUGGACCGAUACUGACGCUGAGACGCGAAAGCGUGGGGAGCAAACAGGAUUAGAUACCCUGGUAGUCCACGCCGUAAACGAUGAGUACUAGGUGUUGCGGGUAUUGACCCCUGCAGUGCCGCAGCUAACGCAUUA
Molecule: ribosomal RNA, 819 nt
Filed under: uncultured bacterium
Lineage: Bacteria
Description: bacterial SSU rRNA
Rfam family: Bacterial small subunit ribosomal RNA
Source: RNAcentral